Molecule: non-coding RNA, 595 nt
Organism: Anas platyrhynchos (mallard)
Lineage: Eukaryota; Metazoa; Chordata; Aves; Anseriformes; Anatidae
Source: RefSeq, a predicted model, not a curated record
CAGGAACGCAUCCAGGUGGCUUUUUAAUAUCUCUAAGGAGGGACACUCCACAAUCUCCCUGAGCAAGUCACCUUCAGUACUGGUCAGUCAUCAUCACAGGAAAGAAGUGCUUCAUGAUUCUUUGAAGGAACCUCCUACAUUUGUGCCAGGUGGAAGGGGGCAGUGAGCAAUCUGCUGUGUGGUUCAUAGCUGCUUACAAGGGUUAAACCACAACAGAUUGGUAUGAUUGAGGAUUCCGGCCCUAGAAUGCUAGGGCAAGUAAAGGCUGGGGAUGAAAGAGAGGUGCAGUCAAUCUGAGGUCCAUUUAAAAUCAGCACAUUUUAAAAUCCACUAUUCUAAUUAUAACGAUGAUUUCUGUGAUGUGGAUCCUUAUCUCCAGAUAGUUUCACAGCAGGAAAGCAAAGAUUUUCUGACACUAAUGUUCUAAUCGACUUUCAGGCAAAUAGUAGAGGUUUUGAAGAGGCAUGACAAAUCCUUUUACUGGCUUCUGUAUUCUGAAUACAGAGCAUAGAAAAAUCAUUUAUCAUAUUUUUAAAAUUCUAUUUAUUCAGGCUGUAUUUAUUGAAAACAGUCUUUCCUACAUGCAAGUCUUGCC